RNAcentral lists this ribosomal RNA (359 nucleotides) under uncultured Pelotomaculum sp. RNAcentral describes it as "bacterial SSU rRNA". It matches the Rfam family "Bacterial small subunit ribosomal RNA", at positions 1024 to 1382 of the family's 1533-position model. The record is from RNAcentral. Lineage: Bacteria; Bacillati; Bacillota; Clostridia; Eubacteriales; Desulfotomaculaceae.
UGACAGGGAGACAGGUGGUGCAUGGUUGUCGUCAGCUCGUGUCGUGAGAUGUUGGGUUAAGUCCCGCAACGAGCGCAACCCCUACGUUUAGUUGCUAACGCGUGAAGGCGAGCACUCUAGACGAACUGCCGUUGACAAAACGGAGGAAGGUGGGGAUGACGUCAAAUCAUCAUGCCCCUUAUGUUCUGGGCUACACACGUGCUACAAUGGCCGGUACAGACGGACGCAAAGCCGCGAGGUGGAGCAAAUCCUAAAAAGCCGGUCUCAGUUCGGAUUGCAGGCUGCAAUUCGCCUGCAUGAAGUUGGAAUCGCUAGUAAUCGCAGGUCAGCAUACUGCGGUGAAUACGUUCCCGGGCCUU